ACCAGAUUUUAAACCAAUCAUUUUUAAUUAUGAAAUCCCUUUGGUUUUUAGUGACAAGUUCAUUAGCUUUGAAUUAAAAUUAAUUAGUUAAUCUUACCGAAUGGAAUCGUGAUGCUGGACCAGAUAAUUUGAAUGCAGAUUCCCUUCUUGCUCCCAUUACCACUUCAGCACUUACUGCCCAAGCAACAACUCCUAGUGAUUAAAAUAGGGAAAAGGUUAAUUCGAGAUGGUACCAAUGAAACUUGGAUCGGUAAUGAUGAUUGAACGAUUAAUAUUUACCUAUGAUGGCUGCAAGUGCUGGCAAUAAAAGACCUAAUGAAAGUAUCCAUCUCAUUCGUGUUUUGGCUUGUUCAUUGGAUGCAUCUGAUCCUGGUGUUGAUCUUCCAGCUGAAGAUGGUGAUCGACCACGGUGGUGAUGAUGGGAUCGCAUGUGUGAAUGAUGUCCAUGAUGGUGACUUCGACCACAGCUUCCCUCUGCAAUUAAAUUUGAUGGUCGAGGCAUAGCAGUUGAUAUUUGGUUGAUUUGAAAAUUAAAUUUUCAAUGGUAAAGCAAACAGUAGCAAAAGGAAACAAAUGAAGGAAAAUUAAUAUCAAGACGACAACUCAAUAUUUAAUCCUUAUCAGCCGCACAAUGGACGUUUGAUUGUUGGAUUUUUUUUCAAUUCAAUCCACAAUUUAUUAUUCAAAAUUGAAGACAAUUAAACAAAGACACACACGCAUUUUAAUAAUGAACAAGUGUACAUAUGGCAAACAAUGACAAGUGGACAAUUGGAUUAAAAAAACCAAACGGAAUCCUACAUUCGAUGGACAAGAAAGAAACAACUAAAAAAGGUCGAUCGAGAGAAAGAACCAAUCGAUGAUGAAAAGUGUUUAAUUAAAAAAGCACAUGAAGUAAAAGUUUAAAUCCAAAUAGUGACCAUUGAACACACAAUAAGCCAAAUGAGAAACUUGAAGAGUCUGGUCCGUUUAACGUUUGAUUUGGUUUGAACGAUAAGUUACUUUAAACUGACGGACAGAGUGAUAUUAAAUCUAGAAGGAUGUUACCUUCAUAUUGACUUUGGGUUAACUUAAAAUAGAAUCAUCAUUCAACUCUCUCUCGCUCUUUCUCAGCCUCAUCUUCAUCAUCUUUGACUCUUCCUUCUAAAGUCCAUUUAGCCUCUCUCUCUCCAUCGUUAUUCAUCCCCUCCAUCCUCAUCAUCAUGGACUCAUCUUGAAGACCUACUUUUAAACGUUAACCUCUCUUUUGGCGAUAUUGUGUCACGGCAUUAGAAAGAAGGAGAAAAGAAAGAUGAUGAGAAAGAAAGGAAAGAAAUAUUUACUCUUACUGAUCAUCAAAAAGAUGAUCAACUGUGAAUUAAGAUUGAAUGAAACAAAUCAUAAAUUGGGUAAACAGUUAUUUUACUUCACAUGAGGCUAAUCUCACUGCGAUAAAUGUUGAUCAUCAUUCAUUGAUUAACUCAUUUCAUAUAAAUUUAACCACUUUCUCUCUCUUUCUCUCUUUCUCCUUUCAUCACCAAAAUAAUAUUUAAAUUUUGUAAAAUUUUCAAUCAACUCCAAUCACUUUUCAUCAUAAAUAUGAAUUGUAAUCUAAAAAGCAACUCCAAUUGUUUCAACUUGCUUUAAACGUUUAGCUCUGUAAACCUUUUAAUGUUAAUGGUUGACAUUGUUUUAAUAUUUUCCCAUAAUUUUACUCUAAUUAGAUUAAACACAAUUAGACAAUUAAGAAUGUACUUUGAAAUAGUAAAAUAAGUAAACUGAAAAAUCUGCUAAUCAACUGGAUCAAUUGAAGUAAA
Non-coding RNA from Tetranychus urticae (two-spotted spider mite), 1793 nucleotides. Lineage: Eukaryota; Metazoa; Arthropoda; Arachnida; Trombidiformes; Tetranychidae. The record is from RefSeq and is a predicted model, not a curated record.